RNAcentral lists this ribosomal RNA (612 nucleotides) under Anophryoides haemophila. Its description in RNAcentral is "partial Bacterial large subunit ribosomal RNA". It matches the Rfam family "Bacterial large subunit ribosomal RNA", at positions 591 to 1204 of the family's 2925-position model. Lineage: Eukaryota; Ciliophora; Oligohymenophorea; Philasterida; Glauconematidae. The record is from RNAcentral.
CGGUGACUGCGUACCUUUUGUAUAAUGGGUCAGCGACUUAUAUUCUGUAGCAAGGUUAACCGUAUAGGGGAGCCGAAGGGAAACCGAGUCUUAACUGGGCGUUAAGUUGCAGGGUAUAGACCCGAAACCCGGUGAUCUAGCCAUGGGCAGGUUGAAGGUUGGGUAACACUAACUGGAGGACCGAACCCACUGUCUUUGAAAAGCCAGGGGAUGACUUGUGGAUAGGGGUGAAAGGCUAAUCAAACUCGGUGAUAGCUGGUUCUCCCCGAAAGCUAUUUAGGUAGCGCCUCGGACGAAUACCAUUGGGGGUAGAGCACUGUUUCGGCUAGGGGGUCAUCCCGACUUACCAAACCGAUGCAAACUCCGAAUACCAAUGAGUACUAUCCGGGAGACAGACUGCGGGUGCUAACGUCCGUAGUCAAGAGGAAAACAAUCCAGACCGCCAGCUAAGGCCCCAAAAUUAUAGUUAAGUGGGAAACGAUGUGGGAAGGCAUAGACAGCUAGGAGGUUGGCUUAGAAGCAGCCACCCUUUAAAGAAAGCGUAAUAGCUCACUAGUCGAGUCGGCCUGCGCGGAAGAUGUAACGGGGCUAAAACUAUAUGCCGAAGCUGCA